AACGCUGGCGGCGUGCCUAAUACAUGCAAGUCGAACGAGUUCUCGUUGAUGAUCGGUGCUUGCACCGAGAUUCAACAUGGAACGAGUGGCGGACGGGUGAGUAACACGUGGGUAACCUGCCCUUAAGUGGGGGAUAACAUUUGGAAACAGAUGCUAAUACCGCAUAGAUCCAAGAACCGCAUGGUUCUUGGCUGAAAGAUGGCGUAAGCUAUCGCUUUUGGAUGGACCCGCGGCGUAUUAGCUAGUUGGUGAGGUAAUGGCUCACCAAGGCGAUGAUACGUAGCCGAACUGAGAGGUUGAUCGGCCACAUUGGGACUGAGACACGGCCCAAACUCCUACGGGAGGCAGCAGUAGGGAAUCUUCCACAAUGGACGCAAGUCUGAUGGAGCAACGCCGCGUGAGUGAAGAAGGCUUUCGGGUCGUAAAACUCUGUUGUUGGAGAAGAAUGGUCGGCAGAGUAACUGUUGUCGGCGUGACGGUAUCCAACCAGAAAGCCACGGCUAACUA
Molecule: ribosomal RNA, 507 nt
Filed under: Lacticaseibacillus casei
Lineage: Bacteria; Bacillati; Bacillota; Bacilli; Lactobacillales; Lactobacillaceae
Description: bacterial SSU rRNA
Rfam family: Bacterial small subunit ribosomal RNA
Source: RNAcentral